RNAcentral lists this ribosomal RNA (253 nucleotides) under uncultured bacterium. RNAcentral describes it as "partial 16S ribosomal RNA". It matches the Rfam family "Bacterial small subunit ribosomal RNA", at positions 524 to 776 of the family's 1533-position model. The record is from RNAcentral.
UACGUAGGGGGCAAGCGUUGUCCGGAAUCAUUGGGCGUAAAGAGCGUGUAGGCGGCCAGAUAAGUCCGCUGUGAAAACUCGAGGCUCAACUUCGAGCUGUCGGCGGAAACUAUCUGGCUAGAGUCCGGAAGAGGAGAGUGGAAUUCCUGGUGUAGCGGUGAAAUGCGCAGAUAUCAGGAAGAACACCCGUGGCGAAGGCGGCUCUCUGGGACGGUACUGACGCUGAGACGCGAAAGCGUGGGGAGCGAACCGG